AGCGACGCCGCGUGAGGGAUGACGGCCUUCGGGUUGUAAACCUCUUUCGCUCAUGGUCAAGCCGCAACUUUGGGUUGUGGUGAGGGUAGUGGGUAAAGAAGCACCGGCUAACUACGUGCCAGCAGCCGCGGUAAUACGUAGGGUGCGAGCGUUGUCCGGAAUUAUUGGGCGUAAAGGGCUUGUAGGCGGUUUGUCGCGUCUGCCGUGAAAUCCUCUGGCUUAACUGGGGGCGUGCGGUGGGUACGGGCAGGCUUGAGUGCGGUAGGGGAGACUGGAACUCCUGGUGUAGCGGUGGAAUGCGCAGAUAUCAGGAAGAACACCGGUGGCGAAGGCGGGUCUCUGGGCCGUUACUGACGCUGAGGAGCGAAAGCGUGGGGAGCGAACA
This 385-nucleotide ribosomal RNA is filed under the name Actinomyces lingnae. RNAcentral describes it as "bacterial SSU rRNA". It matches the Rfam family "Bacterial small subunit ribosomal RNA", at positions 390 to 774 of the family's 1533-position model. The record is from RNAcentral. Lineage: Bacteria; Bacillati; Actinomycetota; Actinomycetes; Actinomycetales; Actinomycetaceae.